This 826-nucleotide long non-coding RNA is filed under the name Ananas comosus (pineapple). RNAcentral's name for it is "long non-coding RNA (ACOM_LNC033087)". The record is from RNAcentral. Lineage: Eukaryota; Viridiplantae; Streptophyta; Magnoliopsida; Poales; Bromeliaceae.
ACUGGGAGGGGAGACAUGUUUACAUGUUCUCACCUUCCCCACCAUUUUUCAGGUAUCGCGGGUGGUGAAUAGUGGGACGAGACGUGAGGUACGUGUGUAGCGGUCGAUAGAGCUUCUGACCCAGGUUAUUUCGGUAUAGUUAUUACCCUUAUUAUUUCAGUUGUUAUAGCUUAGAUAGUUAUAUAGUUCAGUAUUUUUAUUACAUUUGAAAAUAUGGAUUUUCGUGAAUGUAAUAAACGGAUUUCUGGAUUUUGUAAAAUAAAAGGUUUUCUACCCCUCGUGGUAGCGUUUUUAAAGAAUAAAGAUUUCCGUGUAGGAAACAGUUUUCAAAAGGUUUUCUGUGGAUUUUGCAUCUUAGUAUUUCAAAACCUGUUUCUGUGGUUGAAAACAUUUUAACUGAUAGGUGUGGAUUUAUGCAUAAAUGUGAAUCUGUGGUGAAUGGUGUAUGAAUAUAUAUAACGGUUGGUUUUUUGUAUGUUCAUUUGUUGUGGUUGUGCCUGGAUGACUUCUUGUACUUGUGCGACGCCGUGCAAAUACAGGGGAGACUCUGUCCGUGUGAACAGUGGAUUCUCUGUAUUUGUGGCGGAUCUGGCAUACUCUGGGGUCAGGUUCUCAAAAAAAAAAAAUUCAGACGCUUUUCCGCUUUGUUUUAAACUGAAAAGGGACCCCGGGGUGUGACAGAUUAAAGUGGUAUCAGAGCAAAGUUACAACCACAACACCAUUCACAGGUUCACAGGUUGUUUUGAAAAGUAAAUGAACUGAACCAAAUGAACUGAACCAUUGGUUAGGUUGACCCAUAGGAAGACCUACGGUAUAUAGGCAUGUG